This 552-nucleotide ribosomal RNA is filed under the name Hyperolius pardalis. Its description in RNAcentral is "partial large subunit ribosomal RNA". It matches the Rfam family "Bacterial large subunit ribosomal RNA", at positions 1854 to 2620 of the family's 2925-position model. The record is from RNAcentral. Lineage: Eukaryota; Metazoa; Chordata; Amphibia; Anura; Hyperoliidae.
CCCGCCUGCCCCGUGAUUUAAUUUAACGGCCGCGGUAUCUUGACCGUGCAAAGGUAGCACAAUCAAUUGUUCUUUAAAUAAGGACUAGUAUGAACGGCACCACGAGGGUUUAACUGUCUCCCCACUUUAAUCAAUGAAAUUGAUCCUCCCGUGAAGAAGCGGGAAAUAUCUAUAUAAGACGAAAAGACCCCAUGGAGCUUUAAACUUAUCACCAUUUACCAAAACCUAGACACAUAUUUGGCAUAUAUGACAUUGAUAGUUUUCGGUUGGGGCGACCCCGGAGAAAAAUUAAUCCUCCGGACUGAAUAGAAAAAAAUCUAAUGUUAGAGUGAUAACUCAAACAAUCAAAACCUUGACAAAAUGACCCAGAAUCUAUCUGAUCAACGAACCAAGUUACCCUGGGGAUAACAGCGCAAUCCAUUUCAAGAGCCCUUAUCGACAAAUGGGUUUACGACCUCGAUGUUGGAUCGGGAUAUCCUAGCAGCGCAGCCGUUGCUUAGGGUUCGUUUGUUCAACGAUUAAUAACCCCACGUGAUCUGAGUUCAGACCGGA